CCUACGGGCGGCAGCAGUAGGGAAUCUUCCACAAUGGACGAAAGUCUGAUGGAGCAACGCCGCGUGAGUGAAGAAGGGUUUCGGCUCGUAAAGCCCUGUUGGUAGUGAAGAAAGAUAGAGGUAGUAACUGGCCUUUAUUUGACGGUAAUUACUUAGAAAGUCACGGCUAACUACGUGCCAGCAGCCGCGGUAAUACGUAGGUGGCAAGCGUUGUCCGGAUUUAUUGGGCGUAAAGCGAGUGCAGGCGGUUCAAUAAGUCUGAUGUGAAAGCCUUCGGCUCAACCGGAGAAUUGCAUCAGAGACUGUUGAACUUGAGUGCAGAAGAGGAGAGUGGAACUCCAUGUGUAGCGGUGGAAUGCGUAGAUAUAUGGAAGAACACCAGUGGCGAAGGCGGCUCUCUGGUCUGCAACUGACGCUGAGGCUCGAAAGCAUGGGUAGCGAACAGGAUUAGAUACCCGAGUAGUC
This 465-nucleotide ribosomal RNA is filed under the name uncultured bacterium. RNAcentral describes it as "partial 16S ribosomal RNA". It matches the Rfam family "Bacterial small subunit ribosomal RNA", at positions 338 to 795 of the family's 1533-position model. The record is from RNAcentral.